UACGAAGGGGGCGAGCGUUGUUCGGAAUCAUUGGGCGUAAAGGGCGCGUAGGCGGGUUUGUAAGUCGAUUGUGAAAUCCCUGGGCUUAACCCGGGAAUUGCAGUCGAAACUGCAAGUCUUGAGUUCUCGAGAGGAUGGUGGAAUUCCUGGAGUAGUAGUGAAAUACGUAGAUAUCAGGAGGAACACCGGAGGCGAAGGCGGCCAUCUGGCGAGACACUGACGCUAAGGCGCGAAAGCGUGGGGAGCAAACAGG
RNAcentral lists this ribosomal RNA (253 nucleotides) under uncultured bacterium. Its description in RNAcentral is "partial 16S ribosomal RNA". It matches the Rfam family "Bacterial small subunit ribosomal RNA", at positions 524 to 776 of the family's 1533-position model. The record is from RNAcentral.